This 315-nucleotide ribosomal RNA is filed under the name uncultured eukaryote. RNAcentral describes it as "partial 18S ribosomal RNA". It matches the Rfam family "Eukaryotic small subunit ribosomal RNA", at positions 1470 to 1796 of the family's 1831-position model. The record is from RNAcentral.
CCCUUAGACGUUCUGGGCCGCACGCGCGCUACACUGACCAGUGCAACAAGCAUCCGUCCUUGGCCGACAGGCUCGGGCAAUCUUUGAACGCUGGUCGUGAUGGGGAUAGACUUUUGCAAUUGUUGGUCUUCAACGAGGAAUUCCUAGUAAACGCAAGUCAUCAACUUGCAUUGAUUACGUCCCUGCCCUUUGUACACACCGCCCGUCGCACCUACCGAUUGAAUGGUCCGGUGAAGCCUCCGGAUUGGCGCGCACCUCGGUGCCGCCGAGAAGUUGGCUAAACCUUACCAUUUAGAGGAAGGUGAAGUCGUAACA